RNAcentral lists this ribosomal RNA (439 nucleotides) under uncultured bacterium. RNAcentral's name for it is "partial 16S ribosomal RNA". It matches the Rfam family "Bacterial small subunit ribosomal RNA", at positions 338 to 795 of the family's 1533-position model. The record is from RNAcentral.
CCUACGGGUGGCAGCAGUGGGGAAUAUUGCACAAUGGGGGAAACCCUGAUGCAGCAACGCCGCGUGAGUGAAGAAGUAUUUCGAUAUGUAAAGCUCUAUCAGCAGGGAAGAAGAUGACGGUACCUGAGUAAGAAGCCCCGGCUAACUACGUGCCAGCAGCCGCGGUAAUACGUAGGGGGCAAGCGUUAUCCGGAUUUAUUGGGUUAAAAGGGGGCGCAGGCGGAGGAACAAGUCAGCGGUAAAAUUGGGAGGCUCAACCGCGUAGAGCCGUUGAAAAUGGUUUUCUUGAGUGAGCGAGAGGUAGGAGGAAUGCGUGGUUUAGCGGUGAAAUGCAUAGAUAUCACGCAGAACUCCGAUUGCGAAGGCAGCAUACCGGCGCUCAACUGACGCUGAUGCACGAAAGUGUGGGUAUCGAACAGGAUUAGAUACCCUAGUAGUC